Molecule: ribosomal RNA, 581 nt
Filed under: Trichoplax sp. H1
Lineage: Eukaryota; Metazoa; Placozoa; Uniplacotomia; Trichoplacea; Trichoplacidae
Description: partial 16S ribosomal RNA
Rfam family: Bacterial large subunit ribosomal RNA
Source: RNAcentral
GGGUGAAAUUGGAAAAACGGUAAAGAUACCGUAAAGGAAUUCUAAGACGAGAAGACCCCAUUGAGCUUUACUAUUAACUUGUAUUGCCAAAGCAAAUAAAAGGGAACUCUCCCUUGCUUUAUAAUAAAAUUGAGUAGACUAAGUGGGAAAAAAGGGAUGUUAGUCCCCUUUUUAUGGCCGAUUCAUUGGAUUGGGCCCCCAAAAGAUACCUUUUGGGGCCAUUGGCGUAGAGAGGGGGGAUCCGAUUUUCGGAUCGGCGCCGAAGGCGCCCAACCCUACUCGAUUUUUAUGAAAAACCACUCUUUUUAUUAGGAUUACUGGCUAAAACCGUACAAGUAAGGUAGUUUGGUUGGGGCGACCGCCUUCGAAAAAGUAUCGAAGGCGUACAUAAGAUUAAUCCGGGGGGGGUGUCCUUUUUUCACCCCCAAACAAACCGGGGGUAAUGCCCCAAAAAAGAUUAGUUUGACUGAGAGGGCUACAACCCGAACAGGCGCUUUUAGGUUGGGGCCCGGUUUUUACCAAGGGGCCUAAUUGACCAGCGGGCUCCUUUUUAGCCCGGGUCGAACCUAGCGGGUCAUAGU